UGGGAUUAAAAGCAUGAAUGGACCUAAGCU
Molecule: non-coding RNA, 30 nt
Filed under: Rattus norvegicus (Norway rat)
Lineage: Eukaryota; Metazoa; Chordata; Mammalia; Rodentia; Muridae
Source: RNAcentral